This 464-nucleotide ribosomal RNA is filed under the name uncultured bacterium. Its description in RNAcentral is "partial 16S ribosomal RNA". It matches the Rfam family "Bacterial small subunit ribosomal RNA", at positions 339 to 795 of the family's 1533-position model. The record is from RNAcentral.
CUACGGGGGGCUCCAGUGGGGAAUAUUGCACAAUGGGCGCAAGCCUGAUGCAGCCAUGCCGCGUGUAUGAAGAAGGCCUUCGGGUUGUAAAGUACUUUCAGCGGGGAGGAGGGGAGUAAAGUUAAUACCUUUGCUCAUUGACGUUACCCGCAGAAGAAGCACCGGCUAACUCCGUGCCAGCAGCCGCGGUAAUACGGAGGGUGCAAGCGUUAAUCGGAAUUACUGGGCGUAAAGCGCACGCAGGCGGUUUGUUAAGUCAGAUGUGAAAUCCCCGGGCUCAACCUGGGAACUGCAUCUGAUACUGGCAAGCUUGAGCCUCGUAGAGGGGGGUAGAAUUCCAGGUGUAGCGGUGAAAUGCGUAGAGAUCUGGAGGAAUACCGGUGGCGAAGGCGGCCCCCUGGACGAAGACUGACGCUCAGGUGCGAAAGCGUGGGGAGCAAACAGGAUUAGAUACCCGAGUAGUC